Molecule: non-coding RNA, 84 nt
Organism: Danio rerio (zebrafish)
Lineage: Eukaryota; Metazoa; Chordata; Actinopteri; Cypriniformes; Danionidae
Source: RefSeq, a predicted model, not a curated record
GACGGCAUACGAGAUAAUCCGUCGAGAUCGGUCUCGGCAUUCCUGCUGAACCGCUCUUCCGAUCUCUGCAUUCCUGCCUGAUCU